AAAUGCUUAUCUUUGACAGAUACGCGUAUUUCGACUGCAAGUGGUAGUCGAAAUACGCGUAUCUGUCAAAGAUAAGCAUUUA
RNAcentral lists this microRNA precursor (82 nucleotides) under Aedes aegypti (yellow fever mosquito). Its description in RNAcentral is "pre miRNA AAEL028956". The record is from RNAcentral. Lineage: Eukaryota; Metazoa; Arthropoda; Insecta; Diptera; Culicidae.